CUUCAGAUAGAUAUUAAAAAUACCUAAAAGUGCAGGAUUGAUUACCAUCAUGAGGACCAUACUUACCCUUUGCGUCGUUGGCUUGGUGUUGACGGUGGCAUCUCUAGAAGCCGAUGCUAAACGGUUUGUUUUGGUUCAAGUUAAAACUGAUCCAAAUAUGGAUCAAAACCCUGAGGUUCUUGCUAGUGGUGGUGCAAAAGAUCAAUCUCAGUCUCUGUCCCAUACCGCAAGUAAGGGUAGCAGCAGCAGCGACGCAAAGCAUGAUGAUCAUGAUGACGAUAUUCUUGGUAAGUACAGUAAUGGCGCUACAACCCAAUGCAUGGCAGAUAAAAAGAGGCCUCAUUGUCGUUAACUACUGAGCCUAAAAGCCUUCAUACAUGAAUCAAUGAUGUUGUGUAAUAUGUAUAGUAUGUUUAGCUUGUAUGUACUUUUGGUAAUAAGUAAAGGGAAACUCAAUAGCAUGUGGCCAAAGUAUCCAAAAUAAUUAUAAGGCAGAUGUUUGUUUUACCCAGAAUCUUAAUAAUAUAUUAGAUGGUAAUCAGCUUUUACUAUA
This is a long non-coding RNA of Rosa rugosa (rugosa rose), 553 nucleotides long. RefSeq lists it as uncharacterized. Lineage: Eukaryota; Viridiplantae; Streptophyta; Magnoliopsida; Rosales; Rosaceae. The record is from RefSeq and is a predicted model, not a curated record. The transcript has 2 exons.